This 91-nucleotide non-coding RNA is filed under the name Limnohabitans planktonicus. RNAcentral describes it as "Glycine sequence". It matches the Rfam family "Glycine riboswitch aptamer". Rfam says of the family: This family represents the bacterial glycine riboswitch. Lineage: Bacteria; Pseudomonadati; Pseudomonadota; Betaproteobacteria; Burkholderiales; Comamonadaceae. The record is from RNAcentral.
AAUCCCGCAUCGGGAGAGACUGUCAACCGCAGACAGCGCCGAAGGAGCAACCACCCCGGAAACUCUCAGGCCAAAGGACCGAUGCAGGUCG